RNAcentral lists this unclassified non-coding RNA (285 nucleotides) under plant metagenome. RNAcentral's name for it is "partial contains small subunit ribosomal RNA, internal transcribed spacer 1, and 5.8S ribosomal RNA". The stretch from base 1 to 54 matches the Rfam family "Eukaryotic small subunit ribosomal RNA", at positions 1778 to 1831 of the family's 1831-position model. The record is from RNAcentral.
GGAAGUCAAAGUCGUAACAAGGUUUCCGUAGGUGAACCUGCGGAAGGAUCAUUAUUGUAUAACCGAGGUGCGAGGGCUGUCGCUGACCCGAAAGGUCGUGCACGCCCGAGUGCCCUCACACACAUCCAUCUCACCCCUAUGUGCACCACCGCGUGGGUCCCCCUUUGGCUUGUUCGGAGGGGGGCUUACGUUUUCACACAAACUUUGUAUGCAGUGUAGAAUGUAUUUUUUGUUUUUGCGAUCACGCAAUCAAUACAACUUUCAACAACGGAUCUCUUGGCUCUC